AAUAAUUUAGGGAUUUGAUUGAUAUUAAAUUUUAAUUUCUUGAAAUAUGUUGUUAAAUGGAAAUUAUAGAUGGUAUAAGUUGAUUGAUCCAUGAGAUGUAAUGUGAAAAAUAAAGUUGUGUUGUUAGGGAGGUAAUUGAAGUGAUCGAAUAAUUUGGCUGGUUGUUCGAGCUUGAUGAUUUGGUUAAAUGCGUGCCAGCUGCCGCGGUUAGACGUGAAAUACAAGUGAAUAUUGUUGAUUAGAAGUGAAUUGUUGUUUUCAUUAUAUUAAAAUUGUUUUUGGUGAAAUGAAUAAAUUUUAUUUAUUUGAUAAGUGAUUUAAUGAAUCUUCGAAAUUAAUAAAUUUAAACUAGGAUUAGAUACCCUAUUAUAAGUUAUGUAAAUACUAAAAUCAGGGUAGUAGUAGUUAUGAUCUUGAAACCCAAAGAAUUUGGCGGUGUUUUAGUCCUUUCAGAGGAAUCUGUUCUGUAAUUGAUAAUACACGAUUUAUGUAACUUGAUUUUGUUAUCAGUUUAUAUACCGCCGUCAUUUAAAUUAUUUAAUAUAAUUUUUUAAACUUUUGGUUCAAUUUAAAUAUUAAAACAAUAGAAUAUUUAAUAUUAUAUAAUAAUAGGAAUAAAAAACAUCAAUCCAAUUACGAAAGCACAAUCUUUUUUUUAUUUUUAGAUUGUGCUUUCGUGCGGAUUGAUGUUUUUUUAUUCCGUUGUUAUAUAAGAUCUUAUAUAUAUAUAUAUAAUCUACAGA
This 743-nucleotide ribosomal RNA is filed under the name Gryllus bimaculatus (two-spotted cricket). RNAcentral's name for it is "12S ribosomal RNA". Lineage: Eukaryota; Metazoa; Arthropoda; Insecta; Orthoptera; Gryllidae. The record is from RNAcentral.